This 232-nucleotide long non-coding RNA is filed under the name Homo sapiens (human). RNAcentral describes it as "HSALNT0131296". The record is from RNAcentral. Lineage: Eukaryota; Metazoa; Chordata; Mammalia; Primates; Hominidae.
GGCUUCUCUGUGCUCCUCUCUUGUUUGGGAGCCGACGAGUGAGCUUUGAUAUCAGCUCUCACAGCUGGGAUUCAGGCCACUUCGCAGAUGAGGGGCAAACCUGUCAUGAAGUCCUUAGCCCUGAGCCUUGGAGAGUUUAAGGAGGCAGAGGGAGAUCCUCUCAUGCAGAUCUGAUCUGGGAUAAUGGGAUCAGAAGGCCCUGCUCCAUGGGUCCAUAUGGGAGUAGCUGCCC